AUUUGUUAAACUUGUAUUUUUAAUUGAUAUGAAUUAUUCAACAAUCAGAAACAUGUUAUUUAUGAAUACUUUGCAACUAUUUCUAUAUCGAGUUUUGCACGUGAUUCAGGAAACCGGUUUGCACACGAUUAUAUAACGUUAUAUAUAUUUAUAAAUGUGCGUGCUUCCAUCGAACGUAUUGAGUGCUUAUGCAGUGUUUGUAUUCAUGAAGACUGCUUAAGGUAAAAGUAUCGAGUUUGCACUAAUGCAUAUGCAUCAAUGCAUUGAGUUUUCACACAGCUCCAAAAAUAAUACAUAAUAAAAAUUGAAAAAGCUAGCCUAAUCAUUUUUUAUGUUGUUUAAUACUGUUGUUUUUCUCUAUCUGUCUUUCCAUUGCGAACAUUUGUGGUGCAACAAUAGAAGGAUAUGGUGCAUCCUGUUUUUGGAGGUAUACAAUUUUGUUAAUUUAACACUUGACUAUUAAUUGUUUUUGACAAAUUGGCUUUGCCAAAAUAAAAGGUGAACCUGGCAUAUUUUCUGCAUUUUGGGUGAUUUGUCUGCUUUUAAAGGCAUCAUAUUUUUCUCAGUCAGUUAAGAUACAGUAUAAAAGCUUGUGUAAGGACCAUGAAAAUCAACUUUUUUGUUUCAUGUACUUGUACUUUUCAGUCCAAUGCUGUCUACGGAAAUACACAGAGAAGUUGAUUCAGUGUUUAAUGGUGUACAUCUCUGACAAUGCUGAUAAUCUCAUCAGGCAUUACCAGGAUAGCCAUGGUGACCUAAAGGAACUGGAACAGCACACACACUGAGGAUUAUCACAAAGGUGGCUUCAUGGAUGAUCCUUUAAAGACUGUAACUUUCUUUUGGUCAAAUUGUCACUUUUUUCAGAAGUACUACAGUCAUGAUUUUUGGUUUUAGACUAUUUAAGUUGCUGUUUCCAGAGUAGUAUUGCAAUCUCUGUCAGAAAACCUAAAAUGCUUUAUUUUUGUACUGAUUUUACUAAUUGUACUAAUUGUGUGAAAACCUUUUGUUGAAAUGCUGUCCAAAAAUUAGGUAAAAUGCUGUUUUGUGUUUAUUGUAUGUUUUGUACUUAUUUUAAGACAUUGAGUGUUCUAGAGCAGUACAGUAAGUUUUAUUCAAUAGCUCAAGGUCUAAAAUUAAUUAAAAUUUUAAGUUUGUUCAACU
This is a long non-coding RNA of Ctenopharyngodon idella (grass carp), 1161 nucleotides long. RefSeq lists it as uncharacterized. The transcript has 2 exons. The record is from RefSeq and is a predicted model, not a curated record. NCBI's taxonomy places the organism in Eukaryota, Metazoa, Chordata, Actinopteri, Cypriniformes, Xenocyprididae.